GCUACACAUGCAAGUCGAGCGGUAACACAGAGAGCUUGCUCUCGGGUGACGAGCGGCGGACGGGUGAGUAAUGUCUGGGAAACUGCCUGAUGGAGGGGGAUAACUACUGGAAACGGUAGCUAAUACCGCAUAACGUCGCAAGACCAAAGAGGGGGACCUUCGGGCCUCUUGCCAUCAGAUGUGCCCAGAUGGGAUUAGCUAGUAGGUGGGGUAACGGCUCACCUAGGCGACGAUCCCUAGCUGGUCUGAGAGGAUGACCAGCCACACUGGAACUGAGACACGGUCCAGACUCCUACGGGAGGCAGCAGUGGGGAAUAUUGCACAAUGGGCGCAAGCCUGAUGCAGCCAUGCCGCGUGUAUGAAGAAGGCCUUCGGGUUGUAAAGUACUUUCAGCGAGGAGGAAGGUGUUGAGGUUAAUAACCUCAGCAAUUGACGUUACUCGCAGAAGAAGCACCGGCUAACUCCGUGCCAGCAGCCGCGGUAAUACGGAGGGUGCAAGCGUUAAUCGGAAUUACUGGGCGUAAAGCGCACGCAGGCGGUCUGUCAAGUCGGAUGUGAAAUCCCCGGGCUCAACCUGGGAACUGCAUUCGAAACUGGCAGGCUAGAGUCUUGUAGAGGGGGGUAGAAUUCCAGGUGUAGCGGUGAAAUGCGUAGAGAUCUGGAGGAAUACCGGUGGCGAAGGCGGCCCCCUGGACAAAGACUGACGCUCAGGUGCGAAGCGUGGGGAGCAAACAGGAUUAGAUACCCUGGUAGUCCACGCCGUAAACGAUGUCGACUUGGAGGUUGUGCCCUUGAGGCGUGGCUUCCGGAGCUAACGCGUUAAGUCGACCGCCUGGGGAGUACGGCCGCAAGGUUAAAACUCAAAUGAAUUGACGGGGGCCCGCACAAGCGGUGGAGCAUGUGGUUUAAUUCGAUGCAACGCGAAGAACCUUACCUACUCUUGACAUCCAGAGAACUUAGCAGAGAUGCUUUGGUGCCUUCGGGAACUCUGAGACAGGUGCUGCAUGGCUGUCGUCAGCUCGUGUUGUGAAAUGUUGGGUUAAGUCCCGCAACGAGCGCAACCCUUAUCCUUUGUUGCCAGCGGUUAGGCCGGGAACUCAAAGGAGACUGCCAGUGAUAAACUGGAGGAAGGUGGGGAUGACGUCAAGUCAUCAUGGCCCUUACGAGUAGGGCUACACACGUGCUACAAUGGCGCAUACAAAGAGAAGCGACCUCGCGAGAGCAAGCGGACCUCAUAAAGUGCGUCGUAGUCCGGAUUGGAGUCUGCAACUCGACUCCAUGAAGUCGGAAUCGCUAGUAAUCGUAGAUCAGAAUGCUACGGUGAAUACGUUCCCGGGCCUUGUACACACCGCCCGUCACACCAUGGGAGUGGGUUGCAAAAGAAGUAGGUAGCUUAACCUUCGGGAGGGCGCUUACCACUUUGUGAUUCAUGACUGGGGUGAAGUCGUAACAAG
RNAcentral lists this ribosomal RNA (1454 nucleotides) under bacterium. RNAcentral's name for it is "bacterial SSU rRNA". It matches the Rfam family "Bacterial small subunit ribosomal RNA". The record is from RNAcentral.